GCCCUUGAGUAGGUAUGAAUUCUUAUCCACACAGCCCAUACCCCAGAUAUUUCAUCUUGGGCACCUCCGAUGGGCCAGCCUCAGAGAGGCUGGAGAACCAGAGAGGGAGGAAGGAAAUGUGUGUGUGUGUGUGUGUGUGUGUGUGUGUGUGUGUGUGUGUGUGUGUGUGUGUGAGAGAGAGAGAGAGAGAGAGAGGGACAGACACAGAGACACACAGACAGACAGAGACGGAAUGGAGGGAGGAGGAGGAACAUUCAGGAGAAUGUCCACACCUCCACAUGGUCUUGCAAUCCAGUGACCACAGUGCUGUUCUCUGAGCAAAAUGCUUUAACUCCUGACAUUUUCUAAGGACUUUCUGCCUCCUUUUCUCUAUUUCUCUCCUUCCUCAUCUUCCUGGCUUAAAGAUCCAGCUAAAAUUCAGCGUUCUACAGGAAGAUUUUACGAUCCCCUAUAUUAAUAGCUCUGUUGAUUAUUUCCUCUUUAUCCGGCUUAUAUCGUUUGUAAGUGGUUGUUUACAUGUUGUCUCUCCCAUUUGUGAGCAGGGACCCUGUUUUUGCCUUUCAUUGUCUCCCUAAAACUUAGUACAAUGUCGGGUACAUAGUAGGUACUUAAAUGAUCACUGAUUGAGAGGAAGGAAGAGAGAGAAGGGCCACGGCAUGCCACCUGAGCCUGUGAUGGAUAGAAAAAACCCUUUUCAGUCCAGACUGGAUUCCUGCAACUGUGAGCUUCUGAACUGGGCUUCUGAACUGUGAGGGAAAAAAAGAGGAGAAAAUGGAGGAGGUGACCAAGAAGGAAGAAGGAAAAAAAGCAACGGAAAGGCCAAUGGACUCAGCCUUUGGGAGGCAGCCUGUCCUGCUCUCCCAACAAGGGGAAACCAAAGACACUAUCCCCCAGAAGGGAGCUUUCCAGGAGCCAAAAGUGUGGGGCCCUGGAGAGGCAGAAGCAGGGGCUUAUUGCCUGCAGGAUGAGGAGGCUCUGAGCAUUCCUGGAUCAGCAGAGGAGGAUGAGGAGAGUGAGGCUGUCCAGGCCAUGGCCCUAGGGCUGGAAUUACAGUGCAGGCUUCAGCUCCACCUGGACCAGCUGGAGGCCAAGGCGAAGGCCAAGGCAGCAGCAGCAGCCAGGGGCAGCUCAGAACCUGCUCUGGGGGCCUGUGGAAGUCUCACAGCCCCAGACUGCCCUCAGCCCUUGGCCUGCCAGGGCAGUCAUGGGGAGCCCCAUGUCAGGGCCCAAGAGUUGGAGGCUGUCCUGGGGCAAGUCUCUGAAGAGGUUAAUCUGGGUGAGAAGGGAGGCUCAGAGCCAUCUGGGGGGCCCCUUUGGGGAACAGGAUGGUGUCCCAGAGAGAAGGGGGAAAUUGCUGCUGAAGCUUGGGGAGGCCUGCCAACCUCUAAUCCUACUAGUGUCUGCCAAAGAAGGCAGCUCUACCCAAAUCUGGAGCUAAAAGGCCAGGUCCCUGAAGGAGCCAGUACCCUGGGGCUAACACAUGAGAACUGCAGCCUCAGGGACACCAGUAGCCAGAAGCCUGGAGAGGCCCUGACCCCACUUGGGGAGCAGCUGGAGAGGUGA
This 1563-nucleotide long non-coding RNA is filed under the name Phascolarctos cinereus (koala). RNAcentral's name for it is "lncRNA (ENSPCIG00000030936.1)". The record is from RNAcentral. Lineage: Eukaryota; Metazoa; Chordata; Mammalia; Diprotodontia; Phascolarctidae.